Molecule: non-coding RNA, 415 nt
Organism: Camellia sinensis
Lineage: Eukaryota; Viridiplantae; Streptophyta; Magnoliopsida; Ericales; Theaceae
Source: RefSeq, a predicted model, not a curated record
AGAGCCGAGAGAGAGGGUGAGAGAGAAGUCCAACUUUUAUGCUGGAAAAAGCUUUGGAGAAAUGGGUGUAUGAGAUCUAAUUGAAGAUAAAAGAGAGAAAUCAAGGAAUUAAAAAGAAAUUUAGUCAUGGAAGGUUAAAGGUCAUGGGCCAUUGUCUGCCUGAUUUAUCUGAUAUGCCCAGUCUAUCUGAUUUGCUUCUGCAGCCAUCUGUGAUCAAGCGUGUGACCAGGCUUAGAGGCUUCUGCCUAGAAUCAGUUUUGUUAGCCAACCUAUGUGCCUCCCGUGGAGGUUCCGAAUAUGUCAAGUGAUUAUUGCUAUGUGAUCUAAAGUUUAAGUUUUAUUUUUGUGUUUGGUUGAACAAGUCUUGUGUAUUUUGUAGAUAGGGUUAAGUCCCUUUUUGUCUAAUCUGUGUUUA